AUAGAUGUGGAAGUUUUCGGAUGGAAGCGUGUAUGACUGAGCGGCGGACGGGUGAGUAACGCGUGGGUAACCUGCCUCAUACAGGGGGAUAACAGUUAGAAAUGACUGCUAAUACCGCAUAAGCGCACAGGACCGCAUGGUCUGGUGUGAAAAACUCCGGUGGUAUGAGAUGGACCCGCGUCUGAUUAGCUGGUUGGUGAGGUAACGGCCCACCAAGGCGACGAUCAGUAGCCGACCUGAGAGGGUGGCCGGCCACAUUGGGACUGAGACACGGCCCAAACUCCUACGGGAGGCAGCAGUGGGGAAUAUUGCACAAUGGGGGAAACCCUGAUGCAGCAACGCCGCGUGAGUGAAGAAGUAUUUCGGUAUGUAAAGCUCUAUCAGCAGGGAAGAGAAUGACGGUACCUGACUAAGAAGCCCCGGCUAACUACGUGCCAGCAGCCGCGGUAAUACGUAGGGGGCAAGCGUUAUCCGGAUUUACUGGGUGUAAAGGGAGCGUAGACGGCUGUACAAGUCUGAAGUGAAAGCCCGUGGCUCAACCGCGGAACUGCUUUGGAAACUGUAAAGCUGGAGUACUGGAGAGGCAGGCGGAAUUCCUAGUGUAGCGGUGAAAUGCGUAGAUAUUAGGAGGAACACCAGUGGCGAAGGCGGCCUGCUGGACAGAAACUGACGUUGAGGCUCGAAAGCGUGGGGAGCAAACAGGAUUAGAUACCCUGGUAGUCCACGCGGUAAACGAUGAAUGCUAGGUGUUGGUGGGCAAAGCCCAUCGGUGCCGUCGCAAACGCAGUAAGCAUUCCACCUGGGGAGUACGUUCGCAAGAAUGAAACUCAAAGGAAUUGACGGGGACCCGCACAAGCGGU
This 860-nucleotide ribosomal RNA is filed under the name uncultured bacterium. RNAcentral's name for it is "bacterial SSU rRNA". It matches the Rfam family "Bacterial small subunit ribosomal RNA", at positions 49 to 933 of the family's 1533-position model. The record is from RNAcentral.